RNAcentral lists this small RNA (155 nucleotides) under Cupriavidus plantarum. Its description in RNAcentral is "sbcD RNA". It matches the Rfam family "sbcD RNA". Lineage: Bacteria; Pseudomonadati; Pseudomonadota; Betaproteobacteria; Burkholderiales; Burkholderiaceae. The record is from RNAcentral.
CCUGCGGCCGAACCUGUGGGUUCGCGAAAAGGGUUGUUGUGCAGCGUGACCAUGCUGCACGAGGACGACUUUACGUUCUCAAGAUAGAGCAGCACACAUCGGUGUGCCGCUCCCUCGAUGCCACGCCCCCGGAAGGGGCGUGGCAUUGCUGGUGU